GAAAAUUUCAGGGCAGAUAGAUUUUGACCUGAUCAACAAUUUUACCCCCAUGUCAGAUUUGCUCUAAAUGCUUUGGUUUUAAAGAUAUAAGCCAAAAUAUACAUUUUACCCCUGUGUUCUAUUUUUAGCCAUGGCGGCCAUUUUGGUUUGAUGGCCAGGUCAUCGGACACAUUUUUUAAACUAGAUACCCCAAGGAUAACUGUGGCCAAGUUUGGUUAAAUUUGGCCCAGUAGUU
RNAcentral lists this long non-coding RNA (235 nucleotides) under Mytilus galloprovincialis (Mediterranean mussel). The record is from RNAcentral. Lineage: Eukaryota; Metazoa; Mollusca; Bivalvia; Mytilida; Mytilidae.